GGGCUGGGGCUCAGCGGUAGAGCUCUUGCCUAGCAUAUGCAAGGCCCUGGGAUUGAUCCUCAGCACCACA
Molecule: transfer RNA, 70 nt
Filed under: Marmota monax (woodchuck)
Lineage: Eukaryota; Metazoa; Chordata; Mammalia; Rodentia; Sciuridae
Description: tRNA.Ala
Source: RNAcentral